CGUGAGGGAUGAAGGCCCUCGGGUCGUAAACCUCUGUCGGGAGGGAAGAAUUGGCUUCGGGCGAAUAGGCCGGGGCCGUGACGGUACCUCCAAAGGAAGCGCCGGCUAACUCCGUGCCAGCAGCCGCGGUAAUACGGAGGGCGCAAGCGUUAUUCGGAAUCACUGGGCGUAAAGCGCGUGUAGGCGGCCUGUUAAGUCAGUUGUUAAAUCCCUCGGCUCAACCGAGGAUCAGCAAUUGAUACUGAUAGGCUAGAGUGCAGGAGAGAGAAGUGGAAUUAUCGGAGUAGCGGUAAAAUGCGUAGAUCUCGAUAGGAACACCGAUGGCGAAGGCAGCUUCUUGGCCUGUGUCUGACGCUAAGACGCGAAAGCGUGGGGAGCAAACAGGAUUAGAUACCCCAGUAGUCCAAGCC
This 410-nucleotide ribosomal RNA is filed under the name uncultured bacterium. RNAcentral's name for it is "bacterial SSU rRNA". It matches the Rfam family "Bacterial small subunit ribosomal RNA", at positions 400 to 801 of the family's 1533-position model. The record is from RNAcentral.